This 348-nucleotide unclassified non-coding RNA is filed under the name soil metagenome. RNAcentral's name for it is "partial contains 5.8S ribosomal RNA, internal transcribed spacer 2, and large subunit ribosomal RNA". The stretch from base 1 to 120 matches the Rfam family "5.8S ribosomal RNA", at positions 35 to 154 of the family's 154-position model. The record is from RNAcentral.
GAUGAAGAACGUAGCAAAAUGCGAUAAGUAAUGUGAAUUGCAGAAUUCAGUGAAUCAUCGAAUCUUUGAACGCACAUUGCGCCUGCUGGUAUUCCGGCGGGCAUGCCUGUUCGAGCGUCAUUUCAACCCUCAAGCCCCCGGGUUUGGUGUUGGGGAUCGGCUCUGCCCUUCUGGGCGGUGCCGCCCCCGAAAUACAUUGGCGGUCUCGCUGCAGCCUCCAUUGCGUAGUAGCUAACACCUCGCAACUGGAACGCGGCGCGGCCAUGCCGUAAAACCCCAACUUCUGAAUGUUGACCUCGGAUCAGGUAGGAAUACCCGCUGAACUUAAGCAUAUCAAUAAGCGGAGGA